RNAcentral lists this ribosomal RNA (253 nucleotides) under uncultured bacterium. Its description in RNAcentral is "partial 16S ribosomal RNA". It matches the Rfam family "Bacterial small subunit ribosomal RNA", at positions 524 to 776 of the family's 1533-position model. The record is from RNAcentral.
UACAGAGGGUGCAAGCGUUAAUCGGAAUUACUGGGCGUAAAGCGAGCGUAGUCGGUUAUUUAAGUCGGGUGUGAAAGCCCCGGGCUCAACCUGGGAAUUGCAUUCGAUACUGGAUAGCUAGAGUUCGGCAGAGGGAAGCGGAAUUUCCGGUGUAGCGGUGAAAUGCGUAGAUAUCGGAAGGAACAUCAGUGGCGAAAGCGGCUUCCUGGACCAGAACUGACGAUCAGGCUCGAAAGCGUGGGGAGCGAACAGG